GGCUAACGCUGGCGGCGUGUCUUAGCCAUGCAAGUCGAGCGGACUUAUGGGGUAACUUAUAAGUCAGCGGCGGACGGCGGAGUAACACGUAGCUAACCUACCCUCUGGACGGGGAUAACCUACCGAAAGGUGGGCUAAUACCCGAUGUAGUCAUCCUGUAUAGGGGUGAUGAAAGGUGGGCUUCUGUUUACAAGCUCAUGCUGGAGGAGGGGGCUGCGGCCUAUCAGGUAGUUGGUAGGGUAAUAGCCUACCAAGCCGAUGACGGGUAGCCGGCCUGAGAGGGUGACCGGCCCGAGGGGCACUGAGAUACGGGUCCCACUCCUACGGGAGGCAGCAGGCUAGAAAUUUGGGCAAUGGGGGAAACCCUGACCCAGUGACGCCGCGUGCAGGAAGGAGCCCUUCGGGGUGUAAACUGCUGUCGUGUAGGGAGAAGGGUACUAAGGUGAACAAUCUUAGUACUUGACGGUACUACAGGAGGAAGCCCAGGCUAACCUCGUGCCAGCAGCCGCGGUAAGAUAGCGUACU
This 525-nucleotide ribosomal RNA is filed under the name uncultured bacterium. RNAcentral describes it as "bacterial SSU rRNA". It matches the Rfam family "Bacterial small subunit ribosomal RNA", at positions 28 to 531 of the family's 1533-position model. The record is from RNAcentral.